RNAcentral lists this ribosomal RNA (430 nucleotides) under uncultured bacterium. RNAcentral's name for it is "bacterial SSU rRNA". It matches the Rfam family "Bacterial small subunit ribosomal RNA", at positions 355 to 776 of the family's 1533-position model. The record is from RNAcentral.
UGGGGAAUAUUGCGCAAUGGGCGAAAGCCUGACGCAGCGACGCCGCGUGGAGGAUGAAGGUCUUAGGAUUGUAAACUCCUGUCAGAUGGGAAGAAAAGAUCUAUUUUUAAUAGAGAUAGAUUAUGACGGUACCAUCAGAGGAAGCACCGGCUAACUUCGUGCCAGCAGCCGCGGUAAUACGAAGGGUGCGAGCGUUAUUCGGAAUCACUGGGCGUAAAGGGUGCGUAGACGGUAUGUUAAGUUUGUCGUUAAAGACUCUGGCCUAACCAGAGGGUUGCGAUGAAAACUGGUAAGCUAGAGGGUGAGAGAGAGAAGUGGAAUUCCCGGAGUAGCGGUAAAAUGCGUGGAUCUCGGGAGGAACACCAAUGGCGAAGGCAGCUUCUUGGCUCAUUCCUGACGUUGAGGCACGAAAGCGUGGGGAGCGAACAGG